UACGAAGGGGGCUAGCGUUGCUCGGAAUUACUGGGCGUAAAGGGCGCGUAGGCGGACAGUUUAGUCAGAGGUGAAAGCCCAGGGCUCAACCUUGGAAUUGCCUUUGAUACUGGCUGUCUUGAGUACGGGAGAGGUGUGUGGAACUCCGAGUGUAGAGGUGAAAUUCGUAGAUAUUCGGAAGAACACCGGUGGCGAAGGCGACACACUGGCCCGUUACUGACGCUGAGGCGCGAAAGCGUGGGGAGCAAACAGG
This 253-nucleotide ribosomal RNA is filed under the name uncultured bacterium. Its description in RNAcentral is "partial 16S ribosomal RNA". It matches the Rfam family "Bacterial small subunit ribosomal RNA", at positions 524 to 776 of the family's 1533-position model. The record is from RNAcentral.